AACAUUCAACAAAGCUCCCUUCCUCCUCCCCUUGGCUACGACCCCAACACACACACAUAUCCAUCCUUUUCAAUCCAUUACCAAGCAUUCCAAGGUGAUAUUAAGGUGUAAGGAGGCCACUAACGAAGCUCGGUGCAAGCGGAUCUUGAGGGACCUUCUCCAUUUGCUUUUAUCCACCACUUUUACCCUUUGAAACUUCCCUAGUCUUGUGCUAGUAGCUCGUUUUGUCAAGUCUGAUGGUCACGGCGGGUUAAUUAAAGCAAAUCCGGUGAAGUUUACGACGCAAGGAACACAAAGUUGUAACUAAAGGUGGAUGUGCGCGCGGUCCUACUCAUGCUUAGGGAUGUCGUCUAUGUUAUGUUUAAAUAAAGUUGUAAACUUUUAAGACAAUGUUUCAUGCUAUCAUCACGAUGUAAACGCUAAACUUGUGUUUUCAAAUUACGAAAUGUUUGGUAUUU
RNAcentral lists this long non-coding RNA (458 nucleotides) under Helianthus annuus (common sunflower). RNAcentral's name for it is "hypothetical non coding rna". The record is from RNAcentral. Lineage: Eukaryota; Viridiplantae; Streptophyta; Magnoliopsida; Asterales; Asteraceae.